AUUGAACGCUGGCGGCAUGCUUUACACAUGCAAGUCGAACGGCAGCGCGGGCUUCGGCCUGGCGGCGAGUGGCGAACGGGUGAGUAAUGCAUCGGAACGUGCCCAGUCGUGGGGGAUAGCCCGGCGAAAGCCGGAUUAAUACCGCAUACGACCUGAGGGUGAAAGCGGGGGACCGAAAGGCCUCGCGCUAUUGGAGCGGCCGAUGUCGGAUUAGCUAGUUGGUGGGGUAAAGGCUUACCAAGGCGACGAUCCGUAGCUGGUCUGAGAGGCCGACCAGCCACACUGGGACUGAGACACGGCCCAGACUCCUACGGGAGGCAGCAGUGGGGAAUUUUGGACAAUGGGGGCAACCCUGAUCCAGCCAUGCCGCGUGCGGGAAGAAGGCCUUCGGGUUGUAAACCGCUUUUGUUCGGGAAGAAAUCCUCUGGGCUAAUACCCCGGGGGGAUGACGGUACCGGAAGAAUAAGCACCGGCUAACUACGUG
Molecule: ribosomal RNA, 484 nt
Filed under: uncultured bacterium
Lineage: Bacteria
Description: partial 16S ribosomal RNA
Rfam family: Bacterial small subunit ribosomal RNA
Source: RNAcentral